GGGGAAUCUUCCGCAAUGGACGAAAGUCUGACGGAGCAACGCCGCGUGAGUGAUGACGGCCUUCGGGUUGUAAAGCUCUGUUAAUCGGGACGAAUGGUUCUUGUGCGAAUAGUGCGAGGAUUUGACGGUACCGGAAUAGAAAGCCACGGCUAACUACGUGCCAGCAGCCGCGGUAAUACGUAGGUGGCAAGCGUUGUCCGGAAUUAUUGGGCGUAAAGCGCGCGCAGGCGGAUUGGUCAGUCUGUCUUAAAAGUUCGGGGCUUAACCCCGUGAUGGGAUGGAAACUGCCAAUCUAGAGUAUCGGAGAGGAAAGUGGAAUUCCUAGUGUAGCGGUGAAAUGCGUAGAUAUUAGGAAGAACACCAGUGGCGAAGGCGACUUUCUGGACGAAAACUGACGCUGAGGCGCGAAAGCCAGGGGAGCGAACGGGAUUAGAUGCCCCGGUAGUCCUGGCCGUAAACGAUGGGUACUAGGUGUAGGAGGUAUCGACCCCUUCUGUGCCGGAGUUAACGCAAUAAGUACCCCGCCUGGGGAGUACGACCGCAAGGUUG
Molecule: ribosomal RNA, 549 nt
Filed under: uncultured bacterium
Lineage: Bacteria
Description: bacterial SSU rRNA
Rfam family: Bacterial small subunit ribosomal RNA
Source: RNAcentral